Molecule: unclassified non-coding RNA, 324 nt
Filed under: plant metagenome
Description: partial contains 5.8S ribosomal RNA, internal transcribed spacer 2, and large subunit ribosomal RNA
Rfam family: 5.8S ribosomal RNA (bases 1-105)
Source: RNAcentral
GAAAUGCGAUAAGUAAUGUGAAUUGCAGAAUUCAGUGAAUCAUCGAAUCUUUGAACGCAUAUUGCACCCCUUGGUAUUCCGAGGGGCAUGCCUGUUCGAGCGUCAUUUCAACCCUCAAGCUCUGCUUGGUAUUGGGCCUUUCGCCGGAGGACAACCCCUCGGCGUGCCUUAAAGUUAUCGGCGGUGUUGCCCUGCUUCAAGCGUAGUAGAAUAUAGCUUUCGCUUUGGAAGUUGGGGCUGCACCUGCCGGCUGAACCGGGCACUAUGUGCCCAACUCUCUAAGGUUGACCUCGGAUCAGGUAGGGAUACCCGCUGAACUUAAGC